GAUGAACGCUGGCGGCGUGCCUAAUACAUGCAAGUCGAGCGAACGGACGAGAAGCUUGCUUCUCUGAUGUUAGCGGUGGACGGGUGAGUAACACGUGGAUAACCUACCUAUAAGACUGGGAUAACUUCGGGAAACCGGAGCUAAUACCGGAUAAUAUUUUGAACCGCAUGGUUCAAAAGUGAAAGACGGUCUUGCUGUCACUUAUAGAUGGAUCCGCGCUGCAUUAGCUAGUUGGUAAGGUAACGGCUUACCAAGGCAACGAUGCAUAGCCGACCUGAGAGGGUGAUCGGCCACACUGGAACUGAGACACGGUCCAGACUCCUACGGGAGGCAGCAGUAGGGAAUCUUCCGCAAUGGGCGAAAGCCUGACGGAGCAACGCCGCGUGAGUGAUGAAGGUCUUCGGAUCGUAAAACUCUGUUAUUAGGGAAGAACAUAUGUGUAAGUAACUGUGCACAUCUUGACGGUACCUAAUCAGAAAGCCACGGCUAACUACGUGCCAGCAGCCGCGGUAAUACGUAGGUGGCAAGCGUUAUCCGGAAUUAUUGGGCGUAAAGCGCGCGUAGGCGGUUUUUUAAGUCUGAUGUGAAAGCCCACGGCUCAACCGUGGAGGGUCAUUGGAAACUGGAAAACUUGAGUGCAGAAGAGGAAAGUGGAAUUCCAUGUGUAGCGGUGAAAUGCACAGAGAUAUGGAGGAACACCAGUGGCGAAGGCGACUUUCUGGUCUGUAACUGACGCUGAUGUGCGAAAGCGUGGGGAUCAAACAGGAUUAGAUACUCUGGUAGUCCACGCCGUAAACGAUGAGUGCUAAGUGUUAGGGGGUUUCCGCCCCUUAGUGCUGCAGCUAACGCAUUAAGCACUCCGCCUGGGGAGUACGACCGCAAGGUUGAAACUCAAAGGAAUUGACGGGGACCCGCACAAGCGGUGGAGCAUGUGGUUUAAUUCGAAGCAACGCGAAGAACCUUACCAAAUCUUGACAUCCUUUGACAACUCUAGAGAUAGAGCCUUCCCCUUCGGGGGACAAAGUGACAGGUGGUGCAUGGUUGUCGUCAGCUCGUGUCGUGAGAUGUUGGGUUAAGUCCCGCAACGAGCGCAACCCUUAAGCUUAGUUGCCAUCAUUAAGUUGGGCACUCUAAGUUGACUGCCGGUGACAAACCGGAGGAAGGUGGGGAUGACGUCAAAUCAUCAUGCCCCUUAUGAUUUGGGCUACACACGUGCUACAAUGGACAAUACAAAGGGCAGCGAAACCGCGAGGUCAAGCAAAUCCCAUAAAGUUGUUCUCAGUUCGGAUUGUAGUCUGCAACUCGACUACAUGAAGCUGGAAUCGCUAGUAAUCGUAGAUCAGCAUGCUACGGUGAAUACGUUCCCGGGUCU
This 1372-nucleotide ribosomal RNA is filed under the name uncultured bacterium. RNAcentral's name for it is "bacterial SSU rRNA". It matches the Rfam family "Bacterial small subunit ribosomal RNA", at positions 28 to 1381 of the family's 1533-position model. The record is from RNAcentral.